RNAcentral lists this transfer RNA (58 nucleotides) under Salmo salar (Atlantic salmon). It matches the Rfam family "tRNA", at positions 8 to 63 of the family's 71-position model. Rfam says of the family: Transfer RNA (tRNA) molecules are approximately 80 nucleotides in length. Their secondary structure includes four short double-helical elements and three loops (D, anti-codon, and T loops). Lineage: Eukaryota; Metazoa; Chordata; Actinopteri; Salmoniformes; Salmonidae. The record is from Rfam by way of RNAcentral.
UGACUCAGUUGGUAGAGUAUGGCGCUAGCAACGCUAGGGUUGUGGAUUCGAAUCCCAC